CGCGGCGCAGCCCAGGGGAGGCACCGCCUGGGAGCCAGGGCCUCGCGCACCCGGUUAGUAAAGGAUGCUUCCUCUAGUCUUCCAGGUUGCUGGAAUGUCAGGUUAUGUAAAAAUAGCACAAUUUCAAAACUGAGGAAACCAGUCAAACAGAGAAGAUGGUGGCCAGCUUUUCACCGGGAGAUGAGCUCCUUCCUGGAGGGGCACAGGGGGACAAGGCACACAAGACUUGGAGUUUCAGCUUGACUCUGCCACCUGGAGCUGCACAGGAUGGAGUUGAGAGGAACAUGUUGUAUUUUUGUGAAGACAAAGCUGUGAUAUUUUAAUAAGGCCAAUUUUUGGUGAAAUUAUUGUAGUUUCC
Molecule: long non-coding RNA, 358 nt
Filed under: Cricetulus griseus (Chinese hamster)
Lineage: Eukaryota; Metazoa; Chordata; Mammalia; Rodentia; Cricetidae
Description: lncRNA (ENSCGRG00015032413.1)
Source: RNAcentral